RNAcentral lists this small nuclear RNA (107 nucleotides) under Castor canadensis (American beaver). The record is from RNAcentral. Lineage: Eukaryota; Metazoa; Chordata; Mammalia; Rodentia; Castoridae.
AUGCUUGCUUCAGCAGUACAUACGCUAAAAUUGGAAUGAUAUAGAGAAGAUUAGCAUGGCCCCUGAGCAAGGAUGACAUGCAAAUUCAUGAAGCAUUCCAUAUUAUU